RNAcentral lists this ribosomal RNA (395 nucleotides) under uncultured bacterium. RNAcentral describes it as "partial 16S ribosomal RNA". It matches the Rfam family "Bacterial small subunit ribosomal RNA", at positions 523 to 918 of the family's 1533-position model. The record is from RNAcentral.
AUACGUAGGGUGCAAGCGUUAAUCGGAAUUACUGGGCGUAAAGCGUGCGCAGGCGGUUUUGUAAGACAGUGGUGAAAUCCCCGGGCUCAACCUGGGAACUGCCAUUGUGACUGCAAGGCUGGAGUGCGGCAGAGGGGGAUGGGAUUCCGCGUGUAGCAGUGAAAUGCGUAGAUAUGCGGAGGAACACCGAUGGCGAAGGCAAUCCCCUGGGCCUGCACUGACGCUCAUGCACGAAAGCGUGGGGAGCAAACAGGAUUAGAUACCCUGGUAGUCCACGCCCUAAACGAUGUCAACUGGUUGUUGGGGAUUUAUUUUCUCAGUAACGAAGCUAACGCGUGAAGUUGACCGCCUGGGGAGUACGGCCGCAAGGUUAAAACUCAAAGGAAUUGACGGGG